GCCCUGAAGCGGGGGUGCCCACGGGCUGAGAAAUACCCUUCGAACCUGAUCCGGCUGAACCCGGCGUAGGGAAGCUUCGAAGCGUGGUCC
This 90-nucleotide non-coding RNA is filed under the name Arenimonas oryziterrae. RNAcentral's name for it is "TPP sequence". It matches the Rfam family "TPP riboswitch aptamer (THI element)". From Rfam's summary of the family: Vitamin B(1) in its active form thiamin pyrophosphate (TPP) is an essential coenzyme that is synthesised by coupling of pyrimidine and thiazole moieties in bacteria. The record is from RNAcentral. RNAcentral also lists the same sequence under 1 other name. Lineage: Bacteria; Pseudomonadati; Pseudomonadota; Gammaproteobacteria; Lysobacterales; Lysobacteraceae.